CGGUGCGCAAGACGCUGGUCGUUUUUUAUUUUGUCAGCGCCGCCAUUAAAUCCGCAUCUAAAUCAACAUUCAGAGCUUAGAAUCAGUAUUCAUCGAUUUAAAAACAUUCAACGAUUUUUAUGAAGCUCGGAGAACAAACAACGCAAUGGAGUUCGAAUAACAACAGUAAAGACUGACUGAGGUGGUUUAAGUCUCAUUAAUGAGGAGUCGCGCGCGGAGCGAUAUUUCUGUCUCCGCCUCAAUGUGUGACUCUGAUGUAAGUGUGUGUUGAGUGCGUGUGUGUGUGAGUGAGUGAGUGAGUGUGUGUGUGUGUGUGUGCUGAUCCAUCAUGACAGAGCUGUGUGUGAAGUGGUCGUGUGAGUACUGCACGUAUGAAAACUGGCCGUCUGCUAUUAAAUGCACCAUGUGUCGGGCGCAGAAACCCAGCGCAACCAUCAUCACAGCGGACCCAUUCCCGGGCAGAACCGACCCGACCCCGGUUCUCAUCUGUCCCGACUCCAGCGCGCGGCCCCGGGUCCGGUCGGCCCAGUCCGUGGAGCCCAGCGGGAAGUGGUCGUGUCAGGUGUGCACGUUCCUGAACUGGCCCAGAUCGGUGCGCUGUACUCAGUGCCGAAGCCUCCGGGCCACAGAACCACCGUCCGGGACCGGCCGGCCCGCGUCGGACCCGUGUGAGGAGUACAACGACCGGAACCGGCUCAACAUGCGCGUGCAGUGCUGGACCUGCUCGGGCUGCUCGUACGAGAACUGGCCCAAAUCGGCUCGCUGCGUGGUGUGUGACCAGGCCCGACCCAACGACGCCUACCAGCCCGCCGAGCCGGACGAGAUCAACGAGCUCUCCGCCGUGAUCAACGAGACGGAGCGCAGGCGCGCGCGGGGUGUGUGUAGCGGAGCGCGCCGACACUCGCCCAGCUCGUCCACGCGCGAGGCCGAAGUGCAGAUCGAGCUCGCCGCCGGCGCUCAGAGCGGGAGAGACGACAGAGAGGUGGACUUCAAGAAGCUCAAGCAGAUCAAGAACCGCAUGAGGAAGACGGACUGGCUGUUCCUCAACGCCUGCGCUGGUGUGGUCGAAGGCGAUCUGCCGGCGGUCGAGGCCUAUAAGUCGUCAGGCGGUGACAUCGCGCGUCAGCUGACCGGUGAUGAGGUGCGUCUGCUGAACCGGCCCUCCGCCUUCGAUAGCGGAUUCACACUCGUACACCUCGCCAUACGCUUCCAGAGGCAGGACAUGCUGGCCGUGCUGCUGACAGAGGUGUCCCAGCGCGCAGUGAAAUGCAUCCCAGCGAUGGUCUGCCCUGAACUGACGGAGCAGAUCCGCAGAGAGAUCAGCGCAUCACUGCACCAGCGCAAGGGAGACUUCAACUGCUACUUCCUGACUGACCUCGUCACGUUCACACUGCCGGCAGAUAUUGAGGAUCUUCCUCCUGCCGUUCAGCAGAAGCUGUUUGAUGAAGUUCUGGACCGAGACGUGCAGAAGGAGCUGGAGGAGGAGUCUGCGGUCAUCAACUGGUCUCUGGAGUCGGGCUCGCGUCUGGACUCGCGUCUCUACGCCCUGUGGAACCGCACCGCCGGAGACUGCCUGCUGGACUCGGUCCUCCAGGCCACAUGGGGCAUCUGUGACAAAGACUCCGUGCUGAGGAAGACCCUACACGACAGCUUACACGACUGCUCGCACUGGUUCUACACUCGCUGGAAGGAAUGGGAGUCGUGGUAUUCACAGAGUUUUGGGCUUCACUUCUCUCUGAGAGAGGAACAGUGGCAGGAGGACUGGACCUUCAUCAUCAACCUCGCCAGUCAGCCCGGGGCGAGUCUAGAGCAAACACACAUCUUCGUUCUGGCUCAUAUCCUGCGGCGGCCCAUCAUCGUCUACGGGGUGAAGUACUACAAGAGCUUCCGGGGAGAAACUUUAGGGUUCACUCGAUUUCAAGGUGUUUACCUGCCGUUGCUAUGGGAACAGAGCUUCUGCUGGAAGAGUCCGAUUGCUCUCGGUUACACGAGAGGUCACUUUUCUGCUCUGGUCGGCAUGGAAACGGACGGUUGUGAUAAUCGUGGUGCAGGCGCCAAUCUGAACACCGAUGAGGACGUGAGCGUGACCUUCCUGCCGCUGGUGGACAGCGAGAGGAAACUACUACAGAUACACUUCCUGUCAGCACAAGAGAUGGGCAGUGAGGAGCAGCAGGAGCGUCUGCUCAGGGAUUGGCUGGACUGCUGUGUGACGGAGGGCGGGACGCUAGCGGCGCUGCAGAAGAGCAUCAGGCGCAGACGUCACCCGCUCGUCACACACAUGCUGGAGAAGUGGCUCGACGGGUACCGGCAGACGCUCGCGUGCCCCUCCGACGGCGAGGACGACGACGACGACGACUGACACACAUCUCAGCACACUAGCGCUGUCACACGUACCGACUCCGGUACCUAGUUGUGCUGACAUCUUAAAGAUGUGGCGCUUUGAGCGCUGUUGCGGAAUCGUGAACGCCUCUGAUUGGCUGUUGUGUUCAUGAGCUCAUCGGAUGCGUCUGAUUGGCUGCAAUGAUACAUUAUACAUCAAUGACAGUCUUCAGCGAGCGAUUGCACACACACACACACGUAAGCGGUUCGGUCCAGCUAGUGCUUUCAAACGCUCCCUGAUCACUGCAGCCAAUCACAGUCAUGCCCGAGCAGCGCGCGAACACAACAGCCAAUCAGAGGCGUUUACGAUGACGCUCAAAGUGGCACGUUUUUGCAACUUUAGGAGCGACUUGGUACCGAACUCGGUGCUUUUGACAAGACAACAACACACGCUACUCUUUCCCAGAAUGCAAUGCAACCCCCUCCCCAAACAUUGAGGGCUAUCUUUGUGUUUAGUCACAUGAAUUUGUUUUUUUCUGUACGUUUGUGUCCGUCGUGCUGCAUGUGGCUCUUUAAACACGGAAUGAUGAAAUAUAAAGAGCUUAUUAAACGAGCGCUCACACAAUGUUUAUUGUUUAGAGGUUUCCGUAGAAACGCUAAAACUGACAGGAAGCAGCGUCACACUAACGACACGCACACCUCUCUCUCACCAGUGUUCCUGUUUCUGACACGUGUGCGUUUCUUUCUUCUUUUGAUUGUAUUUAUUUUUGUCUGGAUGCUGACCCCUGUGUUGACCUUUGACCUGUACUGAUGUCAGGUGAUCCAGAACAGCUUUAACAUUAAAGUAGAAACACGUCUGCUGUC
This is a non-coding RNA of Pimephales promelas (fathead minnow), 3183 nucleotides long. NCBI's taxonomy places the organism in Eukaryota, Metazoa, Chordata, Actinopteri, Cypriniformes, Leuciscidae. The record is from RefSeq and is a predicted model, not a curated record.